UACGUAGGUGGCAAGCGUUGUCCGGAAUUACUGGGUGUAAAGGGAGCGCAGGCGGGAAGCCAAGUCAGCUGUGAAAACUACGGGCUUAACUUGUAGACUGCAGUUGAAACUGGUUUUCUUGAGUGAAGUAGAGGUUGGCGGAAUUCCGAGUGUAGCGGUGAAAUGCGUAGAUAUUCGGAGGAACACCGGUGGCGAAGGCGGCCAACUGGGCUUUAACUGACGCUGAGGCUUGAAAGUGUGGGGAGCAAACAGG
RNAcentral lists this ribosomal RNA (253 nucleotides) under uncultured bacterium. RNAcentral describes it as "partial 16S ribosomal RNA". It matches the Rfam family "Bacterial small subunit ribosomal RNA", at positions 524 to 776 of the family's 1533-position model. The record is from RNAcentral.